RNAcentral lists this ribosomal RNA (429 nucleotides) under Acidobacteriota bacterium. RNAcentral's name for it is "Acidobacteria bacterium partial 16S ribosomal RNA". It matches the Rfam family "Bacterial small subunit ribosomal RNA", at positions 355 to 776 of the family's 1533-position model. The record is from RNAcentral. Lineage: Bacteria; Pseudomonadati; Acidobacteriota.
UGGGGAAUUUUGGACAAUGGGGGAAACCCUGAUCCAGCCAUCCCGCGUGUGCGAUGAAGGCCUUCGGGUUGUAAAGCACUUUUGGCAGGAAAGAAACGUCAUGGGUUAAUACCCCGUGAAACUGACGGUACCUGCAGAAUAAGCACCGGCUAACUACGUGCCAGCAGCCGCGGUAAUACGUAGGGUGCAAGCGUUAAUCGGAAUUACUGGGCGUAAAGCGUGCGCAGGCGGUUCGGAAAGAAAGAUGUGAAAUCCCAGAGCUCAACUUUGGAACUGCAUUAUUAACUACCGGGCUAGAGUGUGUCAGAGGGAGGUGGAAUUCCGCGUGUAGCAGUGAAAUGCGUAGAUAUGCGGAGGAACACCGAUGGCGAAGGCAGCCUCCUGGGAUAACGCUGACGCUCAUGCACGGAAGCGUGGGGAGCAAACAGG